UUCCUUGAAAGUAUGACUAAACAAUGCAAGAGAAGCAUGGGCAAACAAAAGGACAUAGAGGAAGCCCACGGCUAGGACUUCAAAGCUGGAAAGUUCAAUGAUUCAGCUUGAGUUUUUGGGAUGUUCUUGCUGUCCUUGAGUAGUUUAUCACACUAUGAUUGAUGAUGACUCACUCCUUUGAUGAAAAGGAAGACAAGGAUCCAUGAAUGAGCUGGUUGCAAGGUUGGAAAAGCUCUUAAAAUGCUAAAAAACUCCAGCUGAAACCGUGGGAGCAUGGGCUGUUUUCUUGGCCAGCUUUGUUUAAUUAAAAGAGAGAAAUCACAUGGAUUUGAACAACUCAGAAGAAGGACAUAAAAAGGGCUCCCAAACAUCCUAUAAAUAGACCCCUUGGCUUCCAUUGUAAUCAUCCCUGGACACCAUCAUUCUAGCAUAAAAUAGCUCUAGUUUCUUCUUCCAUUUGUGAGCAGGCCAUUGCCUUCUCCAAAGGUAUGAUCUUGUUCUCCAUAGCCAUGCUUGGCUAAACUUCUUUAUGUUUUGGGUUUUUAUGAAGCUAAUAAAUGAGUAGGUUAUAAAUCCUUGUUCUAACUCAUGUUAUCUUUAUGCUAGAACUUCAACUUCUGAACUUAUUGCUUUCAUGUAUGCUUGCUUCUCACCGAAUUAAACAAGCCUAGGAUUAGCUUCCUUCCGUUGAUUCAAGCUUGUAUGCAUGUUAGCCUCUUACUAAUUUCUUUGAAACCGACCGGAGACUUGGAAUUAGGGAACCUGUUUUGAAGUUACUUGAUUUGUUUCAUUACACUAGACAUAGGGAUGGACUUCAAGUUUGUUGAUCCGACUUAUCUUUCUUAAUGCUUUAAGUUAACUCACGAAAUAACAAGACAUUGUGACUGGUUUUAGCUUAAAAGGAUUACUCGUACGGCAAAAUCGACAAGUAAUUAAUGAGAUUAAAUCAUCUAGAUUUCACUUAGAGAAUAACAUGAAUUAGAACUUGGCUACUUACCCUAAAUUAGUGGAUUAUAAACCCAAAGCAUUCUUCUCUUAUAUAUUUUACUUAUCAUAUCACUGUUUACCUUGCUGCACAAUCAACUCAAUUGCAUAUGUUAUUUAUUGUUUUCUCACUUCAAACUUUGGCAAUAGAAACUAAAGAUUCAAUCCUCAGGUCUCUGUGGUUCGAUAAUUAUUAAAACCGGGUUAAGUCUGUACACUUGCAGAUGACCUAUCAUGUCAUUCAACCCUUGGAAACUGCUGUGAAAGAUCUACGUAAAGCUAUAAUCAAACUAAAUAACUUGCAUCGAAAGCGUGCCUAUCAAAAGACGAAAUUAGUUCUUGCGAUUAGGGAAGAUGCUGACCAAUUAGAUUCUUGCCACUUUUUACUGAUUAGUCAAAAUGAAAAUGAGCCUGCUGACGAAGUUGCAUAUGCAUGUGUGGUGUGUCAAUAAGAAUUGUUUGAGGAAUUUGACCUUAAUGAUUGUGAUCUAGUUAUGUUGCUAGAAAAACUGAGGUAGGUAAACCGAAGUUUGCUGCCACAUUUUGUCGGCCCUUAGAGACUUAUAAGUAUUUUAGUGGAAGAUAAAGUUUUAGUUUUUUGUGAGGUUUGGAAUGCACUUUUUUUGUUGAUGGUAUUCUUUGUUUUGUGAGGUAUGCAAUAUUUUAUGUACAUCUUUACUUCAACUUUUUGCUAGUUAUAUUUAUCAUUUGAGGUCUGAAAGUUCUGGACUGUUUAGUGUUUUCUGGAAUGUUCAGCAUUACUUUUUCUUAAAAAUGGCCAACAAUGAACCUGAUCAAAUUGUGUGAAACGUAGAAGAACAUGUGAAAAUAUCAUUUUCAUUUCAGUUAGUUUUUGUUAUACUAUAUGUUAGACUUUCAUGUGGAAUUAAAUGGUGAAGGAACAACAAUUCCACAGUUUUUACAACACGUGGAUAUUAAAGUCUUGCGUGCUUGCGAGCAUGUGGAACAUGUCAUUCAGCCUUUGGAAACUGCUGUGAAGGAUCUACGUGAAACUAUAAUUAAACUGGAGCAAAUUUACGAGGUACUUGCCGCGGUGAAUGACUAUGAAGUGACAUAAACACCAUUACACGACACAUUAAUGCCCAUAUCGGGGUAUUUGCCUAUAUUUUUAUAGUUGAGCUCCUAACAAAUGAUGAGCUCGUGGGUGAUAGGAGUGGUCGGGACCAAGCUAGAAAGGUCAUGUUCCAUGAAGAAUGGAAUUCAACUGGAGGUGUGGAUGCUUUUUAGUUUGAAGUAAUUAAGCUAUUUUCUGGUUCCAGUUCGAACACUGAUAAUUCUAUUAGGACAUUAAAUAGCCCGCAUCAAAAGCGUGACCAUCAAAAGACAAAAUUAUUUAUUGCAAUUAGGGAAGAUGCUGACCAAUUGGAUUCUUGCCACUUUUUACUGAUUAGUCAAGGUGCAAAUGAAUCUGCUGACGAGGUUGUCAAUGCUCGGGUGGAGUGUCAACAAGAAUUGUCUAACGAGUUUGACCUUAAUGAUUGUAAUCUUAGUAUGUUGCUAGAAAAACUAAAGGCAGAUAAACCAACGUUUGUUGCCACAUUUUGGAGACUUAUAAGUACUUUAGUGGAAGAUGAAGUUUUAGUUUUUUGUGAGGUCUGAAAUGCACUUUUUUGUUAAUGAUACUCUUUGUCUUGUGAAGUCUCGAAGGUUUGGAGUAUUUUGUGUACUCUUUACUUCAAAUUUUUGCUAGUUAUUAUCUUGUGAGCUUUGGAAGUUUUAAAAUGUUUAGUGUUUUCGGGAAUGUUCAGUAUUACUCUUACUUAAAAAUGACCAACAAUCUGAUCAAGCUGUGUUAAACGUAGAAGAACAGGUAAAAAUAUCAUUUCCAUUUAGUUAGUUUUUGCUUCAUACUAUAUGUUAGACUCUCAUUUGGAAUUAUAUGGUGAACGAACUGUAACUGUGAAAAUGAUGAAACUAAAUGGAAAAAGAAGGAUUAGGAAUUAUGCAUGAGCUUUGGAGUUGGCAUUGGAGUCGGAUUUGACAUUAGGAGGUUUUUGGAAACCCUUCCAACUAAGGAGAAAGCCACUACUAUAUACGUGUCGUGUCCAAUGCCACCCGAAGGAUUUCAUGGGGCGUAUGUUGAUGACGCAUUAAGAGGGGAAAAGGAAAAAAAAAACUGGGGAUGGGAGGGUAUAUAAAGGAUCACAGGGGCAAAUUUAUUGAAGGAUUUUACAAGCAGCUUGAGGUAGAAGGGGUGCCUCAAAACUCCCUUCCAGCCAAAGAACAUGUCAUUUAUAUAUGAGCAUUGAGGUGUCAACAAAAGAGAGUUAAGAAGGUGGUGGUAUAUAGCGACAGUAAGACCGCCCCUAAACAUGGUGGAUGGAGAGGGGUCGCCGAACAAUGAAGAGAUAGCACGCCUUAGAGCUUUCAUGGAUGGGGAAUCCUUUGAGAAUAUUUAAUUUAAAAAACUGCAUUUAGAGGCUAAUGAAUUAGCGGAUGCUCUAGCAAAAGAGGGAGCCGAAUCAGAAAAGACAACAGUGCAAGAAUUUUCAAAGCUACAAAAACUCCCAAAGUUGACUUCAUUCAUGAGAAAAAGGUUAGCUGAUGAUAAUUCAGGAAAGCCAUACAAGCAUAAAAUAAGACCAUGGCAGAGCCCUCCAAAAGCAAACUCAGGGGAGGAGAAAACUGAGAACCUGGGAGGAGGCUCUGAGGAGAAGCCUGAGAAGAAAGAAGAGGAGAGAAGACAGGGCAAGCGCCUACAAAGCAAGCAGGACAGGACACAACACAAGAGAAGGCAGGACACGACACACAAAACUGAUUUUAUGUUCAGAGGAAACUUUUUUUUACUUGUUUAAGACUAUAAAUUGCAUUGUUUGUUACUAGAAUGUGUAUACAACAAGCAUUUGAUAUGCCCGAAAGACUUUCUCAACCACACAUUUGGAUGAAAAGAUUUUGUUCUUACAAAAAAAAAUCUCAAUUUUUACUACAAGUGGAUAUUGAGGUCUUGCGAGCAUGUUGAACAUAUCAUUCAACCCUUCAAAACUGCUCUGAAGAAUCUACGUGAAGGUAUAAUCAAACUGUAACAAAUUCACGGGGUACUAUGACUACAAAGUGUCAUAAGCUAUUACAUGACACAUUGAUGCCCAUAUAUGGGGUAUUUGCCAAUGUUUUUCUGACUGGGCUCAUAGCAAAUGAUGAGUUUGUGGGUGCUAGGAGUGUUCGGGACCGAGUUAGAGAGGUCAUGUUCAAUGAAGAAGGAAAUGCAGCCAGGGGUAAGGAUAAUUUUGAAUCGAAGUAAUUUAGCUUUUUUCUAGUACUUGGAAAAAUAACCAACAAUGAACCUGAUCAAGUUGUGGAAACGUGGAAGAAUAGUCAUUCAGCCCUUGAAAACUGUUGUAAGGGAUCUACGUGAAGCUAUAAUCAAACUACCCCAAAUUCAUGGGGUACUUGUCACCAUGAAUGACUACGAAGUUCAAUGAACACUAUUACACAGCAUAUUGUGCCCAUAUCUGUGGUGUUUGCUAAUGUUAUUUUGGACACUUCUCCAUAACCAUGUCUGAAGCAUGAAGGCUAAGAGUACAUUUACGUCUCGUCAUGACCUUUGCCUCGACACAUAUCCUCGUUCGCUCACUCCAAAAUGUCAUUUGUGGGAAUCUAGCUUGUGCUCUCCUUACUAAUGACCAAAUUAUUUUGAGUGGGGUCUGGAAUCAUAAGUUGUUGCACUCUACUUUGGUUUCACCUCAUGUCUUAAACAAGAUAACCACUCUACCUCCUUCUUUGGAGCUCAAUUUGAGGACAUCCCUAUUUUCUGCUACUUACGGUUUUGAGUGAGCGGAGGCGGAGUGAUAGACGUAGAGGAAAAUGAAAGGGAAGGCUUUCCCUUUAAAAUUCUUCUAAACUCAUCCCCAAUUUGGGGGAACAUAGGCUCAAAUCAUAUUUGACUUCGGUUGUUUACCGACAUAUACCCUUCACAAUAAUUAUCAUAGCGAGCUGCUAGGCCAGAAGAUGCUUGGGCCACAUGUUCGUAGUUUUUUUUAGAAAGAUAAAGAUAUAUUUGUGGUCUUGUUGUUGCCGCAUGUAUAUCUUACCCUGUGUAUGAUGUGUCAAAAUUAUCCACACUGGCAGAUAAAAACCUAAUAGGUAAAAUUAUUCGUAUUAGUG
Molecule: long non-coding RNA, 5106 nt
Organism: Lotus japonicus
Lineage: Eukaryota; Viridiplantae; Streptophyta; Magnoliopsida; Fabales; Fabaceae
Exons: 3
Source: RefSeq, a predicted model, not a curated record